UGACAUUUUUCUUGCUGCUCGAGGGCGGAAGCGGCGCGCGUCUCUGCGAGAUGAAGGCGGCAGAGGCGGCGCUGUUGCAGCUGCAGGUCCUCGCUCUCGUCUCCGAUGUCCGCCUCGCCCGCGUGAAUCGCCGAACCGCUCUUUCCUGUAGAACCUUGCAGAUCCCCAGUUCCUAACACACUCUUCAUCUCCCUUCUCCACCAGAACCAAGCAGAUAGAGAUGGCGGCGGAGCGCGAGAGGUGGGUGCCACUGGCGAGAGCUAGAGGGAGCCAGGGAGGUCGCUAGAGCCGCCGACAGCAGCACACAUGGAGCCCUGCUCCGGGCGGCGGACGACUUCGGCUCCUACCCAGGAGUUCAUGGUGAUGACACUGCGAGGCAGUUCAUGGAACAGUUCCCUCUGCCUAAGCUGCUAGGGUAGACAAAAAUUAAGAUCUCGAAGCACCAUUGUUCUUCGGGCGCGACCUCUGACGACCUUGGGACGUGGCAACGAGCAAGAAAGUAGUGCUUAGCCUGCAACUGACAUCCUUGUGACCUCCUGGCCCUGGCGCCUCUUGGUGACCUUCUGGCCCUGGCCGUGGCUCCUGGGGAAGCCCUGGACGAGCUUCUGGUUAGGGGACGGCAUCGCUUCCCGGAACUGCAGCAGCCGGCGAGAUCGGCGACCUGGAGUGCAGCUGGGCGACACGCCCAUGGAUCGAUCGGAGCCGGAGUGCAGCUGGGCGACGUGCCCAUGGAUCGAUUGGAGCCGGAGUGCAGCUGGGCGACGAGCUUGGCGGAUCGAUCGGACCUGGACUGGAGUUCAGCUGGGCGAUGAGCCGGUGUAUCGAUCGGACGAUCGGAGCUGGACGCGAACGCGUGGAGAGGCCACACGCACCUCGUGGAUGGGGAGGAUCGAUUCCUCCUGGGGAGGAGCUAGCUUGGGGAGACGCUGGCCGGGGAGGAUUGAUUUGAU
Lolium perenne is the source of this 950-nucleotide non-coding RNA. The record is from RefSeq and is a predicted model, not a curated record. Lineage: Eukaryota; Viridiplantae; Streptophyta; Magnoliopsida; Poales; Poaceae.